GAUGAACGCUGGCGGCGUGCUUAACACAUGCAAGUCGAACGGAAAGGCUCCUGCUUGCAGGGGUACUCGAGUGGCGAACGGGUGAGUAACACGUGGGUGAUCUGCCCUGCACUUCGGGAUAAGCCUGGGAAACUGGGUCUAAUACCGGAUAGGACGAUGGUUUGGAUGCCAUUGUGGAAAGUUUUUUCGGUGUGGGAUGAGCUCGCGGCCUAUCAGCUUGUUGGUGGGGUAAUGGCCUACCAAGGCGUCGACGGGUAGCCGGCCUGAGAGGGUGUACGGCCACAUUGGGACUGCGAUACGGCCCAGACUCCUACGGGAGGCAGCAGUGGGGAAUAUUGCACAAUGGGCGCAAGCCUGAUGCAGCGACGCCGCGUGGGGGAUGACGGCCUUCGGGUUGUAAACUCCUUUCGCUAGGGACGAAGCGCAAGUGACGGUACCUGGAGAAGAAGCACCGGCUAACUACGUG
This 466-nucleotide ribosomal RNA is filed under the name uncultured bacterium. Its description in RNAcentral is "partial 16S ribosomal RNA". It matches the Rfam family "Bacterial small subunit ribosomal RNA", at positions 28 to 507 of the family's 1533-position model. The record is from RNAcentral.